RNAcentral lists this ribosomal RNA (465 nucleotides) under uncultured bacterium. RNAcentral describes it as "bacterial SSU rRNA". It matches the Rfam family "Bacterial small subunit ribosomal RNA", at positions 338 to 795 of the family's 1533-position model. The record is from RNAcentral.
CCUACGGGGGGCAGCAGUAGGGAAUCUUCCGCAAUGGACGAAAGACUGACGGAGCAACGCCGCGUGAGCGAAGAAGGUCUUCGGAUCGUAAAGCUCUGUUGUUAGGGAAGAACAAGUACGGGAGGAAAUGACCGUACCUUGACGGUACCUGACGAGGAAGCCACGGCUAACUACGUGCCAGCAGCCGCGGUAAUACGUAGGUGGCAAGCGUUGUCCGGAAUUAUUGGGCGUAAAGCGCGCGCAGGCGGUCUUUUAAGUCUGAUGUGAAAUCUUGCGGCUCAACCGCAAGCGGUCAUUGGAAACAGGGAGACUUGAGUGCAGGAGGGGAAAGCGGUAUUCCACGUCUUGCGGUGAAAUGCGUAGAGAUGUGGAGGAACACCAGUGGCGAAGGCUGCUUUCUGGUCUGUAACUGACGCUGCGGCGCGAGAGCGUGGGGUGCAAACAGGAUUAGAUACCCGUGUAGUC